AUUGAACGCUGGCGGCAGGCCUAACACAUGCAAGUCGAGCGGUAGCACAGAGAGCUUGCUCUCGGGUGACGAGCGGCGGACGGGUGGGUAAUGUCUGGGAAACUGCCUGAUGGAGGGGGAUAACUACUGGAAACGGUAGCUAAUACCGCAUAAUGUCGCAAGACCAAAGUGGGGGACCUUCGGGCCUCAUGCCAUCAGAUGUGCCCAGAUGGGGAUUAGCUAGUAGGUGGGGUAACGGCUCACCUAGGCGACUAUCCCUAGCCGGUCUGAGAGGAUGACCAGCCACACUGGAACUGAGACACGGUCCAGACUCCUACGAGAGGCAGCAGUGGGGAAUAUUGCACAAUGGGCGCAAGCCUGAUGCAGCCAUGCCGCGUGUGUGAAGAAGGCCUUCGGGUUGUAAAGCACUUUCAGCGGGGAGGAAGGCGUUAAGGUUAAUAACCUUGUCGAUUGACGUUACCCGCAGAAGAAGCACCGGCUAACUCCGUGCCAGCCGCCGCGGUAA
RNAcentral lists this ribosomal RNA (505 nucleotides) under uncultured bacterium. RNAcentral describes it as "partial 16S ribosomal RNA". It matches the Rfam family "Bacterial small subunit ribosomal RNA", at positions 30 to 523 of the family's 1533-position model. The record is from RNAcentral.